Long non-coding RNA from Alexandromys fortis (reed vole), 2908 nucleotides. RefSeq lists it as uncharacterized. The transcript is spliced from 3 exons. The record is from RefSeq and is a predicted model, not a curated record. Lineage: Eukaryota; Metazoa; Chordata; Mammalia; Rodentia; Cricetidae.
CUUAGAGUUAGAGAAGAAAAAAAAAUCUUUCCCCAGACUGACGAGGCCCAGCUUCUUCGCCCAUGCACUGGAUCAGCUUGUACCACUGAGCCCAGCGGAUGGAAAGAAACAGCGUCAUUUUCCUUCAAGUCUGAGCAAAAGAUGGAACCCAGUAGCAGUGACGUGACAGUGCUCACACCUGCGGAGGGAGGGGGACGCCCUACCAUGGUGGUGCCGAGAAGAUGACGUGGCUCCCUUACAGAGGCCUUCAGCCAAAAGCACUGCACACGGAUGGCAGAAUUUAUCCAGGGCAUCUCAGCAGCACAGCUCUUCCCAAGAAGAAGAACCCCAGCAAACAAAGGACACAAAGGACUUCAGGGCAGCAGAUCCUCUUGAACACUGACAACUCCCACACAGGCAAGUGCCCUCCCCUGCUUAAUUCCGGCGCAAUUUAGCAUCGUGAAUCACUGCUCCCAGGCCUCCAUUUGUCUUUCACAGGAAAACGUCCCGAGGUGGCGAGGGUGGCUCUCAUCUUGCGUGUCCCCCCACAAACCUUUUCUUCCCUCUCAUGUCAUCUCUCAUGACCGUCCUCUUCAGCGUCACUGGUAGCGUCAUCCUUGCUCCCCUCACGUCAGCUGCUCAAUGACCCCCUGCCCAGCCGCACGCCCCUGUUGGGGUGGCGGCACCCCACCUUCCUCCUGCCAGAAGCCAGAAUUGCUCUUCUGAGACGCAGAGCACUGGCCUUUCCAUCUGCUGUGUCCUCCGCCAGCCACUUUCCAGAAGCCCAGGGGCGACACAGCCAGCGGGUGGGCUCCUUCCAUCUGCACUGCACUGCCUUCCGCCAGGCUGUGCGUCAGCCAGGCACUGUCGCCCGGGCUUCAGAGCUCUAAAGGGCACUUUGUCCCAAGCCCUGGUGUGUGCCUGAGAUGAAGCCUCAUUUUAAAAAAAAGAAGCAGGAUCAUGCAGGGAACACGCUUGCACUAGAGGAGGGGGCUAGCAAUGUUGUCUGGCAAAUUACAGGUUUUCUUUUAUUGCAAUUUAAAAAAAAAAAAGAACCCACUGAGAAGAUGAUUCUCUUAAUUCAUUUGAGUAGGAAGAUGGGCAUUUUGUGACACGCUGUGUCUUUUUGUGAUACGCUGGAACAAAGGUAAUAGUAAGAAUUCUUGUUCACGCUGGGGGCCCUGGACAACACCCGAGGAUACUAGGAACAGUGGUUCCUGGCCGCAGGACCUGCUCCAACCUGCUAGCUCAAAAAUCCGCCUGAGCAUAGCUAGUGCUGGCCUGUCUCCAUUGUUUCACAGACUCUGCCCCUCUGGGCUGUAGGCUUCAUGGAUGCGGCUCUAAGGCUCAUUUCUCUCUGCUCUUGGACCCGAGUCUCAAGUCUGUGCAGCUUUAAAGAUGCCAGCUUGUUCAAGAUGUCAGCUCAGCUGCCGCGAGGGCUGAGGGACUGACUUGACACAAGAGCCUUCCCUAGCCCAGCGCCCUGGAUUUCCUUAGCUGAAUUUCUCCACCAAGCACCACAAAAUGUGUGUCCCCAGCAUCAAGCUACAGGAAGGGGGGCUCUCCAGGCUACUGACCAUCCAGUAACUCCUGUGUUUUCUGUGACUCCAGAGCAGGACCGGACUGGGUGCUGGGUACCCAGGCACAUCAGGCAGCUGUCAACCCUCCCCCUCCCCUACCCCCCCCCCCCAUCUAGGUGAGAGACAGAGCCAUGUCGGCAGCCAUUGACUGACAGGGUACCAUGAUUCUGGCAAAGAAGAACCCAGGACAGCAAGCAGUCUUGGUCCAAAUGGGACAUCACAUAGGUGGGCAGAGGUUCAAUCUCUGCUUAACAAACAUGAGUCCAUCUAAGUACAUGAACCCCACCAGUAUCCCAUGCAAAGUCCUUAGAACAGUGGCUUGGAGAGGCCACAUGGGUUCCAGCCACAGUCCAGCCACCAAGCCAUUGGAGGGGACAAUAGUCCCAGCUCCUGUUCUGCGUGAGAGCUUACAGCCACACAUGCCAGGGACAGAAGACAGACUCGCUCCAGGGGAGAGUGAGUCUGCCAGCUCUUUGCCUUUUCCCAUCCCCCUCUCAUGUAGAUUUCUGCCCAGGGUUCAACAAGGUUGGUUGUCCCUUUGGGAAAAGAAGGUACCUUGCGGCCUUGGCUCCUGCUUCUACCUUUGGGAGAAGACUAACUACUUGGUCCUGCUGGUAGCCGGUGGGGCCAGAGAGUCUGCUGACAAUGUGGGGCGCAGCAAAGGGCACCGCCAUCCUGUGUAGCAGUGUGGUUUCCUCUAGUAGGCAUUUUCAUCCCAGCCCCAGGAAGAACAAUGACAGUUGACAGAGUGAGCAAGGACUUAAGCCUGUGACAUAAAACACGAAGCCUUGGCGUUUCCAAUGAGAAACCUGAUAAAAAUAAACAAGACACACUGGAGAACAAGUCAUGACUGCGUCCAGUUCCACACCAUAGCUGCCUGCAACUCCUGCCGAGGUGGCUCAGGACUUGCAAGCAGUACGUGAAUGAAGGUCCUGAGAACUGGUCUUGACAAGUGAGGACAAGAGGUACCAAGAAGGCAGCAGGAUCCACUGAUGACACCCAGACAGGAUGAGAAGGGGUUGUAGGGGGUUCCCAUCCAGACAAGCUUGUCCAAGCCCGUGUGUAACUGAGGUUCAGGAGCCCCACGCUUCACACAGCACAGGUGUCAUGCUAACUUGCCAGGUGACUUCCUACUCAGUGUGACCUGUGGGAAGUGGGUGAGGGGAUGCAAAGUUCCCAGGUCUCCUUUUCUUCUUUCCCUUUCUUUUUUUCACUCUUAUAUAACGUAUAAUGGAAUAAGCAAGUAGUGGGUCUGGGAGCGCACAUGUGCACACACACAGACACAGACACAUGCGCACAUGCACACACACACACGCAGACACAUGCACACACAUGCGUGCACGCACGCA